CUUCUGUGAUGACACGAUGACGAGUCAGAAAUGGACACAGCCCUGCUCAGAGCAACCGGCUCGGGGCCACGUUCUGUGGGGCCGCGCUCGCGCGCUCUGGCAGGCGUGUCCACUUUAUUGGAUGAUUUAGAGGCAUUUGUCUGAGAAGG
Euleptes europaea (tarantolino) is the source of this 149-nucleotide small nucleolar RNA. The record is from RefSeq and is a predicted model, not a curated record. NCBI's taxonomy places the organism in Eukaryota, Metazoa, Chordata, Lepidosauria, Squamata, Sphaerodactylidae.